This 468-nucleotide ribosomal RNA is filed under the name uncultured bacterium. Its description in RNAcentral is "partial 16S ribosomal RNA". It matches the Rfam family "Bacterial small subunit ribosomal RNA", at positions 28 to 507 of the family's 1533-position model. The record is from RNAcentral.
GACGAACGCUGGCGGCGUGCUUAACACAUGCAAGUCGAACGGAAAGGCCCUGCUUUUGUGGGGUGCUCGAGUGGCGAAAGGGUGAGUAACACGUGAGUAACCUGCCCUUGACUUUGGGAUAACUUCAGGAAACUGGGGCUAAUACCGGAUAGGAGCUCCUGCUGCAUGGUGGGGGUUGGAAAGUUUCGGCGGUUGGGGAUGGACUCGCGGCGUAUCAGCUUGUUGGUGGGGUAGUGGCUUACCAAGGCUUUGACGGGUAGCCGGCCUGAGAGGGUGACCGGCCACAUUGGGACUGCGAUACGGCCCAGACUCCUACGGGAGGCAGCAGUGGGGAAUAUUGCACAAUGGGCGGAAGCCUGAUGCAGCAACGCCGCGUGCGGGAUGACGGCCUUCGGGUUGUAAACCGCUUUCGCCUGUGACGAAGCGUGAGUGACGGUAAUGGGUAAAGAAGCACCGGCUAACUACGUG